Rosa chinensis is the source of this 1213-nucleotide long non-coding RNA. RefSeq lists it as uncharacterized. The transcript is spliced from 2 exons. Lineage: Eukaryota; Viridiplantae; Streptophyta; Magnoliopsida; Rosales; Rosaceae. The record is from RefSeq and is a predicted model, not a curated record.
GACAUAAGAUAUACAUUUAAGCUAGUGAGGACAUUCUUUUUUGUAGAUGAGGACAUACUAAACACUAGAAAGCAACAUGCCCUUCACUCCCACAUGCUUAGCUCCCAAUCCACAUGCCAAACGCAACAGUAUCGCAAGCAUUUCCUACGAAGACAGAGCAGAGCUUCAUCCAACACACUGUGAUCCGCCAGUGCGAUCAAUACUGCACCGAUUCCAACAAGGCAUUUUUCGUUCCCAAGUGUAUUUCGUGCCUUUGUUUGAAAUUAAUAAAUUAGUAAUUCAUUUCACCCGAUCUCUUUGUUUAUACCAGAUUAUAUGUGAGGGUUUCAUGUUUUGCGGCCAUAGGAGCUUUGGGGGGGUGGAAGGGCCUUUCGAAUCUGGUGGUGAAAAGGAAUGGCACAGUGGAUGUGGCGGCGCGGUGUGGCUGCAGAUUAAUUGGGUUUUCGGUCCGAUCUGAGUUAUGCAGGAGCCGGAUCUGACCGCAGAUCUUGAUUGGAUGGAGGCGAGCAUGGCUGCGUUGGGCGGCGAAGCUUGGACUGAGGACGCGGUGGUGUGUCUGGAGGGAGGUUUGUGCUUGGAUCCAGGUUCCUUGCUAGGCCUGGAUUUUGGUUUGGGCUGUGGAUUGGCAAGAAGGGCUUGAAGACUGGGGUUGGGUCUGGCUUUGGGAUUCGGGGGGUCAGGUCUGGAUCUGGGUUCUUCCUUGGGAUCCAGGUCCUGCCUUGAUUUGGGUUAGGGCUCUGGGCUUGGGUUGGGCCUAUGUUGCUUGGAUAUGAGUCAUUGAGUUGUGGUACUGUUUUUCAGGUGGAAGAUUAUCCUCUAUUUGGCGUAUUUUUUACAUGGAAGAUGCAUGGAUGGUCAUAUCACCAGUUAUAUGGUUAGAAGGUUACCCUUUUAUGGUCGGUCAUACUAUCGAUAACAUAGGUGGAAGAUUGUUCUUUUUUCGGCGUACGAGAUACGAGGAAUAUGUUUGGUUGGUCAUAUCACCGGUUACUUUUAUGGAAGAUUAGCCUUUUAUGGUCUGUCAUACCAUUAGUAAUUAUUUAAAUAGCCCGGAUUACAUCCGGUGCGUCUUCAGAUGCAUUAUUGCAUCUAGCUAUAGCUAUGCUAGGUUUUAUUUUCAAUUUUUUAUUGUCGCUUUUUUCAUUUUUGAUGUAGCUUCUACAUCUAUCUUUUGUAAUCUUUCUUAUUAUUCAUGGAGUUGACAUUUUCAUUC